RNAcentral lists this ribosomal RNA (119 nucleotides) under Aegilops tauschii subsp. strangulata. The record is from RNAcentral. Lineage: Eukaryota; Viridiplantae; Streptophyta; Magnoliopsida; Poales; Poaceae.
GGAUGCGAUCAUACCAGCACUAAAGCACCGGAUCCCAUCAGAACUCCGAAGUUAAGCAUGCUUGGGCGAGAGUAGUACUAGGAUGGGUGACCACCUGGGAAGUCCUCAUGUUGCAUUCC